Molecule: ribosomal RNA, 768 nt
Filed under: uncultured bacterium
Lineage: Bacteria
Description: bacterial SSU rRNA
Rfam family: Bacterial small subunit ribosomal RNA
Source: RNAcentral
AAGUUUGAUCCUGGCUCAGGAUGAACGCUGGCGGCGUGCUUAAUACAUGCAAGUCGAACGAGCACUUACGACAGAUCCCCUCGGGGUGAAGAUGUUUGUGACUUAGUGGCGGACGGGUGAGAACGCGUGGGUAACCUGCCUCAUGCAGGGGGAUAACAGUUAGAAAUGACUGCUAAUACCGAUAAGCGCACGGAUUCGCAUGUUUCUGUGUGAAAAGAUUUAUCGGCAUGAGAUGGACCCGGUCUGAUUAGGUAGUUGGUGAGGUAACGGCCCACCAAGCCUGCGAUCAGUAGCCGACUUGGAGAGUGAUCGGCCACAUUGGGACUGAGACACGGCCCAGACUCCUACGGGAGGCAGCAGUGGGAAUAUUGCACAAUGGGGGAAACCCUGAUGCAGCGACGCCGCGUGAGUGAAGAAGUAUUCGGUACGUAAAGCUCUAUCAGCAGGGAAGAUAAUGACGGUACCUGACUAAGAAGCCCCGCUAACUACGUGCCAGCAGCCGCGGUAAUACGUAGGGGGCAAGCGUUAUCCGGAUUUACUGGUGUAAAGGGAGUGUAGGCGGUCUGGCAAGUCUGAUGUGAAACUCCGGGGCUCAACCCCGAACUGCAUUGGAAACUGUCAGACUAGAGUGCAGGAGAGGAAAGUGGAAUUCCUAGUGUAGGGUGAAAUGCGUAGAUAUUAGGAAGAACACCAGUGGCGAAAGCGGCUUUCUGGACUGUAAUGACGCUGAGGCUCGAAAGCGUGGGGAGCAAACAGGAUUAGAUACCC